Long non-coding RNA from Xiphophorus hellerii (green swordtail), 2017 nucleotides. RefSeq lists it as uncharacterized. NCBI's taxonomy places the organism in Eukaryota, Metazoa, Chordata, Actinopteri, Cyprinodontiformes, Poeciliidae. The record is from RefSeq and is a predicted model, not a curated record. The transcript has 2 exons.
GCAAGAGGGACCUGAGUUUUAAUACAUGUAUGUAAAAACUGUUGCUGACAAAACCUCUGUUAACAUUGAAACCAACUUGCAAUGUUCUAAACUUUAAUUUUAUAAGGUAGCUCCACAGCAUUUGGAUAUGUGUGGACACCAACGUAACCAGGAGCGCAGUUGUGUAAGAAAUUCAAACAAAGUACAGUUUAUAUUUUUUCCCCUCUUUUGUAAACAUUUAUGUUGUCAGCUCUUGGUGACACAAUAAACAUUAAUUUAAUUCAGAAGUGGGAAAAAGUGUUUGCCCCCUCAAAAGAACCCCACAGCAACAUCCAAAAAGCUGCAGUCUUCAUUUGCCUCAGUUAAGGUCAGAGGUCAUGCCUCCACCAUAAGAAAGAGACUGGGCAAAAAUGGCAUGCAUGGCAGAGUUUUAAGAUGAAAACCUUUGCUGAAUAAGAGGAACAUUGAGGCUCUUUUCAAUUUUUCAAGAACACAUGUUGGGCCGAAGAGCGCUACCCUAACCUCAACAUGGCUAUCUUGUGUUCAAGUUCUGUUCUUGGUUCUUUUGCCUCAUGUCUUUCCCCAUUCUCUAUGCUGUUUUCCUGUUAGAUUACGGUCAAAUAAAGACUACUAGUGACAAAAAAAAGGAACACAUCUGAUUCCUAAGGAUGGAAAGAUGAGCCAAAGUUUAACUCUUUGGAAUGUGUGUGCCUGCCAUGACAGCUAGCAUAAAAGACCUGGAAGAUUUGCUGUGAUAACUGGAACCAUGAACUCUGCUGUCUACCAUAAAAUUGUGAAGAAGAACAUCCGCCCAUUGUUUUAUGACCUUAUAAUGAAACAAACUUGGGCUCUGCAGCAAUGAUCCAAAACACACCAGCAAGUCCACCUCUGAAUGGCCAAAGAAAAACAAAUUGAAGACUUUGUAGAGGCCCAGUCAAAGUCCUGACCUUAAUCCUGAGAUGCUGUGGCAUGACCUUUAAAAGGACCAUUCUUGUUCGAAAACUGUCCAAUGUGGCUGAUUUACAGCAAUUCCACAAAGAUGAGUGCCUUGCAAAAUUAUUCAAACUCUUUGCUAUUUUUCUAACAAACUUUAGAUUUUUUGUGAUUGCCAUUAAAAUGUGCAUAAUUGUAGAGAGAAAAUGCUAUAUAAAAUGUUUUCAAACUAUUUAACAAACACAAAUGUUAACUAGAAAGUGUUCAUUUCCUAUGAAAAUGCAAGUGUGAAUGCUCAAUGCUUGAAUGCUUUUGGUGAAAAUGGCAAAAGUGUUUGAAGCCAACUACUGAAGACUUGCAGAAAGGUAAGAAAUAGUCAAUUCCGUGUGAAAAACCCAAGUAAAAGACAAAAUUAGCUAAAAAGUUAAAACUUAAUUUGGCUAGGUCACUAGCAUCUAGCCAAAAUUAACUAGAUCCUAAUGAUAGCAUUUAGGAUACCACUAACAUGCUGGGUUACAGUGAUAUAUUCCAUGCAAUGUAAAAAAAAAACCCCUGAAAAAAACUGAUGUAAAACCUAAAAUUUGAAAGGACAGAAAUGUUCCCCUAUUCCUUUUGAUAAAAACGGUGGGUGAAUGAAAUCCAUGCCUUUUAUGGUUCCUUACCUUUCAUUUGUUUGGAGGCAUCGUUUAGCAUAGUGACUACAAAGAAAUAUGCCACAUGCAGUGCAAAAAAAGCAAUGUCAAAAGCUCAAAUUAUUCCCAGGUGUUAAACAGCAUAAAAGCUGUUUAACUGCCUUACUUCAAAAUGGCCACUGCUUUGUGUGCUCCGUGACAGCUCUGGAACUGGAUGAUUGAUUGCCAUUAAUAGGCAGGAUCUAAAACAUCCACUGUGAAACACAAUGGACAUUUUAUAUUGUAAUUCUCAAUUCUGCCACAGGAUGGGGCGGUUUCCCCCAUGGGGUGAAAAAUUUAUAAAAAGCUGAAUAUUAUAAAAAGUAUGAAGGUUAUGAAUACCAAGAGAUAUAGCCGGCAUUAGGAGAUCAAACUGAAUAGUACAAAAGUUGAAUGGUGAAAAUAGCACAAAGUAUGCAGGAGAAGAAGUGCGG